Molecule: ribosomal RNA, 253 nt
Filed under: uncultured bacterium
Lineage: Bacteria
Description: partial 16S ribosomal RNA
Rfam family: Bacterial small subunit ribosomal RNA
Source: RNAcentral
CACGUAGGGGGCAAGCGUUGUCCGGAUUUAUUGGGCGUAAAGGGCUCGUAGGCGGCCAACUAAGUCGGACGUGAAAUCCCUCGGCUUAACCGGGGAACUGCGUCCGAUACUGGAUGGCUUGAGUUCGGGAGAGGGAUGCGGAAUUCCAGGUGUAGCGGUGAAAUGCGUAGAUAUCAAGUGGAACACCAGUGGCGAAGGCGAGUCUCUGGACAUUUCCUGACGCUGAGGCACGAAAGCCAGGGGAGCAAACGGG